GCUCAGCUGGAUAGAGUACCUGGCUACGAACCAGGCGGUCAGAGGUUCGAAUCCUCUCGGACGCGCCA
RNAcentral lists this transfer RNA (68 nucleotides) under Vibrio cholerae O1 str. NHCC-004A. RNAcentral describes it as "partial tRNA-Arg". It matches the Rfam family "tRNA", at positions 10 to 71 of the family's 71-position model. Rfam says of the family: Transfer RNA (tRNA) molecules are approximately 80 nucleotides in length. Their secondary structure includes four short double-helical elements and three loops (D, anti-codon, and T loops). Further hydrogen bonds mediate the characteristic L-shaped molecular structure. tRNAs have two regions of fundamental functional importance: the anti-codon, which is responsible for specific mRNA codon recognition, and the 3' end, to which the tRNAs corresponding amino acid is attached (by aminoacyl-tRNA synthetases). tRNAs cope with the degeneracy of the genetic code in two manners: having more than one tRNA (with a specific anti-codon) for a particular amino acid; and 'wobble' base-pairing, i.e. permitting non-standard base-pairing at the 3rd anti-codon position. The record is from RNAcentral. Lineage: Bacteria; Pseudomonadati; Pseudomonadota; Gammaproteobacteria; Vibrionales; Vibrionaceae.